This 800-nucleotide ribosomal RNA is filed under the name uncultured bacterium. RNAcentral's name for it is "bacterial SSU rRNA". It matches the Rfam family "Bacterial small subunit ribosomal RNA", at positions 8 to 766 of the family's 1533-position model. The record is from RNAcentral.
AGAGUUUGAUCAUGGCUCAGGAUGAACGCUGGCGGCAUGCCUAAGACAUGCAAGUCGUACGAAGUGGCCCACUGAAGUUUGAGUGCUUGCACGAUUUCGGACGUGGAUUUUCCACUUAGUGGCAGACGGGUGAGUAACGCGUGGGUAACCUACCUCAGGGACUGGGAUAACUGUUGGAAACGAUAGCUAAUACCGGAUGAUAUAUAUUUGGAUAACCUUAUAUAUUAAAAGGAGCUUCGGCUUCACCUUGAGAUGGGCUUGCGUUGUAUUAGCUUGUUGGUAGGGUAAUGGCCUACCAAGGCAACGAUGCAUAUCCGAGCUGAGAGGUUGAUCGGACACAUUGGGACUGAGACACGGCCCAAACUCCUACGGGAGGCAGCAGUUAGGAAUAUUCGUCAAUGGGGGGAACCCUGAACGAGCAAUGCCGCGUGAGUGAUGACGGUCUUUAUGAUUGUAAAACUCUGUUGUAAAGGAAGAAUAGCUACCAUAGGUAAUGAUGGUAGUAUGACGGUACUUUACCAGAAAGCCCCGGCUAACUACGUGCCAGCAGCCGCGGUAAUACGUAGGGGGCGAGCGUUAUCCGGAUUUAUUGGGCGUAAAGAGUUCGUAGGCGGUUUGUUAAGUCUGAGAUUUAAGCCCGAGGCUCAACCUCGGUUCGUUUCAGAACUGGCAGACUUGAGUGUGGUAGAGGCAAGUGGAAUUUCUAGUGUAGCGGUUAAAUUCGUAGAUAUUAGAAGGAACACCAGUGGCGAAGGCGGCUUGCUGGGCCACCACUGACGCUGAGGAACGAAAGCGUGGGG